CUCAGAGACCACGAGGGCUGAUUUCAGAAAUCGAAGAGGCACCUACUUUUCCAGCCUUGUCAGCACCUGUCACACGCACACUCAGCUUUGCGGAAAUUAUGAGCAUUCUGUCGAAGAUUUCUGGCGAAGUAGAAAGCACAUGAAUCGUACUGUUCAAUCACCCACUUCCCACACGCAACAGUAGCUCAUGGGUACCACAGAUAACUUUGCCAAAGUUCUCUGACAAAGUUGAGACACGUGAAGCUUGCAGCUCCCACUACAUCGCUCUGACC
This 272-nucleotide long non-coding RNA is filed under the name Malus domestica (apple). Its description in RNAcentral is "long non-coding RNA (MDOM_LNC004608)". Lineage: Eukaryota; Viridiplantae; Streptophyta; Magnoliopsida; Rosales; Rosaceae. The record is from RNAcentral.